RNAcentral lists this transfer RNA (76 nucleotides) under Gemmatimonadota bacterium. Its description in RNAcentral is "Gemmatimonadetes bacterium tRNA-Asn". It matches the Rfam family "tRNA". Rfam says of the family: Transfer RNA (tRNA) molecules are approximately 80 nucleotides in length. Lineage: Bacteria; Pseudomonadati; Gemmatimonadota. The record is from RNAcentral. RNAcentral also lists the same sequence under 1 other name.
UCCGGAGUAGCUCAGUUGGCAGAGCGGGUGACUGUUAAUCACUUGGUCGUAGGUUCGAGUCCUACCUCCGGAGCCA